CUGUCAAUGAACCUGGCAGAGCAAUUGGCUUUGAAAGAAGACGUAGAGCUGCUACCCUCAUAUCUACCCCCAUACCUGCCACGAAUAAGAAAGUUCUUUUCAGAAUAUAUACUAGCGACAGUCACUAGUGUGUUUAUUUCUAUACAAUAAAUCAUUCAUUUCAUAUCCUUUUAAAGAAUGCAUCACUGCAGGAUAUUUAAAUAUCUUCAUGUUAUGGAUUGUUAGUUGUUGCAUCAUAAUGUCGGAAACAGCCGAAGUAGUAAAUUCUACUGAGGGUCAAGGGGAAAAGCCAAAAGAACAAAAAUAAACUUCAAUUCAAAAAAAUUGACCUUGUAAAUAUAUAAAGGAUUAAUUGGAAACACUAAUAAGAGAUGCAUGCAUGCAUGCAUGCAUGCACUGUAGCGUAUAUUUAUACGUCAAGGUGGAUAAACAAAGGUAAUCCAACUUUAGCAUGCUCGAGUGGGUCAGAUAUUGUGUUUAUCGACAUGUACAAUAUUCUUAAUUAAACAGCACAAAAAUCACACUUUUAGCUGUCGAAAUAUACCUUUUUUUGUAACAUUAUGAAGGAAAAUUACCAAAUACGAAUCGAAUAGGUAAGUCAGGUCGAAAUCGCAUUUUUCCACUGUUGAGAAUUGGAUGCAAAAAAACUAUUGAAAAUAAAUUCCAUUGCAAUCUAAAAUUCAUGAAUUCUAAUUUAAAAAGCUGUAACGUAAUUAUUGGAU
This is a non-coding RNA of Paramuricea clavata, 722 nucleotides long. The record is from the annotation of a GenBank genome assembly. NCBI's taxonomy places the organism in Eukaryota, Metazoa, Cnidaria, Anthozoa, Malacalcyonacea, Plexauridae.